This 2053-nucleotide long non-coding RNA is filed under the name Homo sapiens (human). RNAcentral's name for it is "long intergenic non-protein coding RNA 2805". Lineage: Eukaryota; Metazoa; Chordata; Mammalia; Primates; Hominidae. The record is from RNAcentral.
GGCACAUGCUGGGUAGAGAUUAGGCAGCCCCAGGAAGAGGAGAAAAAAGAAAAAAAAAAAAACAUGUAAAAAGACCCAAAGCCCAAAGUUCACCAAACUGACGCUGAUCUCAUUUUGCAGAAGUCAGCCCGUUCUCCCCUCUCUGAGAGUGUUACUGUGCUUAAUAAGUCUCUUGCUGCUUUGCUACAUGUGUGUGUGUCACUUCCAAUUCUUUGUUAAAGACACCAAGAACCUGGGACUUCACAACACCAGCCGGUAACAAAGGAGAAGAUAGUCAUUGGACAAAAGGUGGGUCAUUCUCACGUUGACCAAGUUUCUGUUCCAGUAUCACCCUCCCAGUCCACAGGUCGAGAGGAACCAUACUUGAAGAAACAUACCUGAAGGGUUUCAUCCAUAUGUGGGCCUGAUUUGGAUGAUAAAAUCCUGCAUCUUGAGCCUGAUCUUGAUGCUGCCUGUGUUCUGAUGCCAUCAGGAGUUGAGAGUCUAGGGGUUUUAGAAAGGGUGAAUGUAUUUUCCCAUAGGCAAGGAACAUAAUCAAUGGCCAAAAUGUGCACUGUGACAGAUUAAAGGUUGCUACAAAUUCUCUGAUACCCUUCCAUUAAGAGGUAGGGCAGAUAUUCCCUCCCCUCAAAUCUGGGUGGGCUCCAUGACUUGCUUUGAUCAACAGAAAACGGCAGCAGUGAUGCUGGGCCAGUUGUUGGAUCCAGGCCUUAAGAACCAACAACUUCCACUUAAGUUCUCUUGGAACACUGAGUCCCUGACUACCCUAAUAUCAUGUUGGAAAGGCUACAUGUAGGCACUCUAGUUGCCAGUCCCAGCCAAGACCAGCUUUUCAGCCAUCCCCAUCACUAAAUUUGUAAAUGAAGCCAUCUGGAAUCUCCAGACCAGCUCAUUUGGCAGCUGGGUAUCAUCAAGUUAUCUCUGCUGACUCCACAUGGAACAAAGGAAUCACCCAGCUGAGCCCUAUUCAAACUAUUGACCAAAAAAAUAGUGAGACAUAAUAAAAUGAUGUUUUAAGCCAGUAAGUUUUAGGAUAAUCUGUUACAUAGCAAGAGAUAACCAGGACACUAACUAUACAUGCAUAGAGUAAACAGAGGUAGGCCUACUUUCCACAUUGAAUUGUGCUUUCUAAAGAGGUGAUGAUGAAUUACCUUUUUGUAAAGGUAAUACAUUUCAAAUGUGCUAAGGAUGCUUUCUCUUUUUCUUAUCCAUAAAACAUGCAGACAAUAGUCACUCUCUCCUUAGUUCAUAAGAAUUUUGAGAGGAACAAAGGAGAUAAUAUAUGUCAAAGGCAUCUGCAAAGCAUUUCUCACUAAGCAAAUGUAAGACAUUAUUACUUUUAUAGAAAUUUAAGUAAAAUACAGGGUUUUGUGCAAUUUAAAUAAUCACCUAGUUUCUAUCAACUUUGGAAGUUUAGCUAAUCACAUAUCUGAUUCUUCUACAUACUCAGGUAUUCAUACACAGGUAUAAAAUUGCUGUCCAAUAAACAUAGACUUUCUUCAGUACUAAAUUAAAGCAGUGCUUGUUAAUAAAAAAAUCAGUAAUACAUUUUAGCACAAUGUUGACAUGUAACACAUAUAUUUUAACUCAAAUAUGUAAAGCACAACUGGUAUUAGUUAAUUCAAUCAAGCAUGCAACUCUUGAAGGAGGUGGGAGGAUGCAGAAAACAGCUAGCUUGAAAUGGAAACCACCCCUGUGCUGUCGUUCUGCCUCAUCUUGGUUCAUGAUGUUCUCAUCUUUAUGCACACUGUGCAUAAAGGAGAGAGAUAAAGGGGUGUUAAAAUACUUUAUUCUGUAGCACAGAAUAAAGUGUUAUGAAAGUACAGAAGUAGACACGUGCAUUGUUUCUUGUUAGGAAACCUGAGACUGUGGAAAACUUGCUGAACUUCAGGUUACUGAACUCAAAUAUAAUGUGAUGUUUUAUGCUUUUAAUGAUAGUUCUUCCCUCUCAGAAACUUAGCAUGUAUAGUCUUUGAAAGGUCUUUUCCUAUAUUUACUAUCAAAAAGAAAGCUAAAAGCAUAUAAACACAUGAGCACACGUGCAUACAAAAAA